This 408-nucleotide ribosomal RNA is filed under the name uncultured Lactobacillus sp. Its description in RNAcentral is "bacterial SSU rRNA". It matches the Rfam family "Bacterial small subunit ribosomal RNA", at positions 355 to 755 of the family's 1533-position model. Lineage: Bacteria; Bacillati; Bacillota; Bacilli; Lactobacillales; Lactobacillaceae. The record is from RNAcentral.
UAGGGAAUCUUCCACAAUGGACGAAAGUCUGAUGGAGCAACGCCGCGUGAGUGAAGAAGGGUUUCGGCUCGUAAAGCUCUGUUGGUAGUGAAGAAAGAUAGAGGUAGUAACUGGCCUUUAUUUGACGGUAAUUACUUAGAAAGUCACGGCUAACUACGUGCCAGCAGCCGCGGUAAUACGUAGGUGGCAAGCGUUGUCCGGAUUUAUUGGGCGUAAAGCGAGUGCAGGCGGUUCAAUAAGUCUGAUGUGAAAGCCUUCGGCUCAACCGGAAAAUUGCAUCAGAAACUGUUGAACUUGAGUGCAGAAGAGGAGAGUGGAACUCCAUGUGUAGCGGUGGAAUGCGUAGAUAUGACGAAGAACUCCGAUCGCGAAGGCAGGUGUCCGGGGUGCAACUGACGCUGAGGCUCG